RNAcentral lists this ribosomal RNA (588 nucleotides) under uncultured bacterium. RNAcentral's name for it is "partial 16S ribosomal RNA". It matches the Rfam family "Bacterial small subunit ribosomal RNA", at positions 355 to 1376 of the family's 1533-position model. The record is from RNAcentral.
UGGGGAAUUUUGGACAAUGGGGGCAACCCUGAUCCAGCAAUGCCGCGUGUGUGAAGAAGGCCUUCGGGUUGUAAAGCACUUUUGUCCGGAAAGAAAACGCCGUGGUUAAUACCCGUGGCGGAUGACGGUACCGGAAGAAUAAGCACCGGCUAACUACGUGCCAGCAACCGCGGUAAUACGUAGGGUGCAAGCGUUAAUCGGAAUUACUGGGCGUAAAGCGUGCGCAGGCGGUCCGCUAAGACAGAUGUGAAAUCCCCGGGCUUAACCUGGGAACUGCAUUUGUGACUGGCGGGCUAGAGUAUGGCAGAGGGGGGUAGAAUUCCACGUGUAGCAGUGAAAUGCGUAGAGAUGUGGAGGAAUACCGAUGGCGAAGGCAGCCCCCUGGGCCAAUACUGACGCUCAUGCACGAAAGCGUGGGGAGCAAACAGGAUUAGAUACCCUGGUAGUCCACGCCCUAAACGAUGUCAACUAGUUGUCGGGUCUUCAUUGACUUGGUAACGUAGCUAACGCGUGAAGUUGACCGCCUGGGGAGUACGGUCGCAAGAUUAAAAACUCAAAUGAAAUUGACGGGGUCAUAGCUGUUUCCUG